AUUCCAUUAUGAGGGCAUUUUUGUAACAAUUCUUUAAAUCUUUCCCAUGCCUCAUACAAGGACUCGUCAACCAUCUGUUGGAAAGUAGUGAUUUCAUUUCACAACUU
Molecule: non-coding RNA, 107 nt
Organism: Gossypium raimondii (Peruvian cotton)
Lineage: Eukaryota; Viridiplantae; Streptophyta; Magnoliopsida; Malvales; Malvaceae
Source: Rfam